GCCGCCUUAGCUCAGAGGUGAGAGCAACGGUUUCGUAAACCGUAGGUCCGGGGUUCGAAUCCCCGAGGCGGCU
RNAcentral lists this transfer RNA (73 nucleotides) under Deltaproteobacteria bacterium. Its description in RNAcentral is "tRNA-Thr". It matches the Rfam family "tRNA". Rfam says of the family: Transfer RNA (tRNA) molecules are approximately 80 nucleotides in length. Their secondary structure includes four short double-helical elements and three loops (D, anti-codon, and T loops). RNAcentral also lists the same sequence under 1 other name. Lineage: Bacteria; Pseudomonadati; Myxococcota; Myxococcia. The record is from RNAcentral.